UGGGGAAUAUUGCACAAUGGGCGCAAGCCUGAUGCAGCCAUGCCGCGUGUGUGAAGAAGGCCUUCGGGUUGUAAAGCACUUUCAGCGAGGAGGAAGGGUAGUGUGUUAAUAGCACAUUGCAUUGACGUUACUCGCAGAAGAAGCACCGGCUAACUCCGUGCCAGCAGCCGCGGUAAUACGGAGGGUGCAAGCGUUAAUCGGAACUACUGGGCGUAAAGCGCACGCAGGCGGUUUGUUAAGUCAGAUGUGAAAUCCCCGCGCUUAACGUGGGAACUGCAUUUGAAACUGGCAAGCUAGAGUCUUGUAGAGGGGGGUAGAAUUCCAGGUGUAGCGGUGAAAUGCGUAGAGAUCUGGAGGAAUACCGGUGGCGAAGGCGGCCCCCUGGACAAAGACUGACGCUCAGGUGCGAAAGCGUGGGGAGCAAACA
This 427-nucleotide ribosomal RNA is filed under the name uncultured bacterium. RNAcentral describes it as "partial 16S ribosomal RNA". It matches the Rfam family "Bacterial small subunit ribosomal RNA", at positions 355 to 774 of the family's 1533-position model. The record is from RNAcentral.